GGUGCAGCUCAGUGGUAGAGUGCCUGCCUAGCAGGCAGGAGGCCCGGGGUUCCAUCCUCAGUACCA
This 66-nucleotide transfer RNA is filed under the name Cavia porcellus (domestic guinea pig). It matches the Rfam family "tRNA". From Rfam's summary of the family: Transfer RNA (tRNA) molecules are approximately 80 nucleotides in length. The record is from Rfam by way of RNAcentral. Lineage: Eukaryota; Metazoa; Chordata; Mammalia; Rodentia; Caviidae.